This 501-nucleotide ribosomal RNA is filed under the name uncultured bacterium. RNAcentral's name for it is "bacterial SSU rRNA". It matches the Rfam family "Bacterial small subunit ribosomal RNA", at positions 25 to 518 of the family's 1533-position model. The record is from RNAcentral.
CAGGAUGAACGCUAGCGACAGGCUAACACAUGCAAGUCGAGGGGCAGCACGGGAGUAGCAAUACAACUGGUGGCGACCGGCGCACGGGUGAGUAACGCGUAUGCAACCUACCUAUCAGAGGGGAAUAACCCGGCGAAAGUCGGACUAAUACCGCAUAAAACAGGGGCACCGCAUGGUGAUAUUUGUUAAAGAGAUUCGCUGAUAGAUGGGCAUGCGUUCCAUUAGGUAGUUGGUGAGGUAACGGCUCACCAAGCCGACGAUGGAUAGGGGAACUGAGAGGUUGGUCCCCCACACUGGUACUGAGACACGGACCAGACUCCUACGGGAGGCAGCAGUGAGGAAUAUUGGUCAAUGGGCGGGAGCCUGAACCAGCCAAGUCGCGUGAAGGAAGAAGGAUCUAUGGUUCGUAAACUUCUUUUGCAGGGGAAUAAAGUGCAGGACGUGUCCUGUUUUGUAUGUACCCUGAGAAUAAGGAUCGGCUAACUCCGUGCCAGCCGCCGC